GACGAACGCUGGCGGCGUGCUUAACACAUGCAAGUCGAACGGAAAGGCCCUGCUUGUUUGUGGUGCUCGAGUGGCGAACGGGUGAGUAACACGUAAGUAACCUGCCCUUGACGUUGGGAUAACUUCAGGAAACUGGGGCUAAUACCGGAUAGGAGCUCCUGCUGCAUGGUGGGGGUUGGAAAGUUUCGGCUGUUGGGGAUGGACUCGCGGCUUAUCAGCUUGUUGGUGGGGUAGUUGCUUACCAAGGCUUAGGCGGGUCGCCGGCAUGAGAGGGUGACCGGCGACCUGGGGACUGAGAGACGGACCAGACUGCUACGGGGGGCAGCAGGGGGGAAUAUUGCACAAUGGGCGGAAGCCUGAGGCAGCAACGCCGGGUGCGGGAUGACGGCCUUCGGGUUGUGAACCGCUUUCGCCUGUGACGAAGCGUGAGUGACGGUAAUGGGUAAAGAAGCACCGGCUAACUACGUG
Molecule: ribosomal RNA, 468 nt
Filed under: uncultured bacterium
Lineage: Bacteria
Description: partial 16S ribosomal RNA
Rfam family: Bacterial small subunit ribosomal RNA
Source: RNAcentral